This 254-nucleotide ribosomal RNA is filed under the name uncultured bacterium. Its description in RNAcentral is "partial 16S ribosomal RNA". It matches the Rfam family "Bacterial small subunit ribosomal RNA", at positions 524 to 776 of the family's 1533-position model. The record is from RNAcentral.
UACGUAGGGUGCGAGCGUUGUCCGGAAUUAUUGGGCGUAAAGAGCUCGUAGGCGGUGUGUCGCGUCGGCCGUGAAAACCUGGGGCUUAACUCUGGGCGUGCGGUCGAUACGGGCAUCACUAGAGUUCGGCAGGGGAGACUGGAAUUCCUGGUGUAGCGGUGAAAUGCGCAGAUAUCAGGAGGAACACCGGUGGCGAAGGCGGGUCUCUGGGCCAUUACUGACACUGAGGAGCGAAAGCAUGGGGAGCGAACAGG